AAAUCUAAGUGUUACCGAGCCCACCCCAGUCUCAGCACUGCUCUCUCAGCCUGCUGUCAUGGAUCAGGUAACACUGUCAGCUACUACUCCAGCACCAUGCCUGUCUGCCUCCCACCAUGAUGAUCACAGACUCGCUCUCCCAAACUUAUGCUGUUAAUAUUGUAAGUAGAGGGGCCCAAGCCGAGGGCAUCAAGGCUAUCACCCUGACUCCUCCAUCUCCAAGGCCACAGGACCAUCUCUUCUCACUCUUGCGACAUCUUCCCUCCCAGAAUACAUCACUUGGAUAAAAUCUAGAAGUAGACAGGAUGAAUUGAAUACUUCUUUUAAAGACCAUGGAUGCAUAUUCUUAAAUUAUUAACAGAAAGAACUCAUGAAAAACUGACAUCGCUUUGGAAAUAUUAAUGAGCUUUAUAAACAUCUAUGCUAAAGUCUUCAAGGGGGAAGAGUUGCUGCUGCUGCACAUUCUACAGAAGAGAUAUUA
Long non-coding RNA from Mesocricetus auratus (golden hamster), 481 nucleotides. RefSeq lists it as uncharacterized. The record is from RefSeq and is a predicted model, not a curated record. NCBI's taxonomy places the organism in Eukaryota, Metazoa, Chordata, Mammalia, Rodentia, Cricetidae. The transcript is spliced from 3 exons.